UUGAAGCGACUUCGCCUGUUUCUGGUUGUGUUUAUUAGUUUUCGGGGUUUGAGGCCAUAAUUCUAGAAAACUUUUAUGUUACGCGCUGAAAUAUCAAGCCUACAUCUUGGCUUGUAUUUUUGAGAUUUAAAAGUCGAGUUUUACAUCAGAUGUAGUAGUUAAAUUGAGGUCGGAACAUGGAAGGCGAAAUACUCGAAAAGGUCUUGUCUGGUCUCCAGAAAGGGCAGCCGUACUGCCUCAUUUGUUUCAAAACUUCAAACGAAACCCGCCUUGUUGUACCUAAAUAUCUACAGCAGUUCGCCAAAAACUUUAACAUAAACAUAUUCUCUAUACAACCAACGCUUAUAGAGAAGACCAUGCUAGCGUGCUACAUGUGCGAGGCCCGGGCGGGAGCCGCAGUCAAAUUCUACGCGGCAGUCCAGACCGCUGUGUCUGCUCGGUUGAUGCUUAACCGGCAUGCUAGUCACAAUAUGACGCUGGCAAAACCUAAAGACGUUGUAAUUAGUAUGUGUAACAAGAAGCUACAUGAAUACCAAACAAAGAGCACCCUGCGUCAAACAGAGGUGCUAAUUGUCGACAGCAACGCGGGCCAGUGGACGUCUAAGCGGAGCAUCCUUCCUUCAGCGUCUGAAGUUGCGAAAGAAGGCUCUUUAAUUGUGCCACAAAACAAAGAUGUGGAAACCGUAGUUUUAGACGACGACGAAGAUGAGCCUGAAUCACCAAAACUGGAAGCAGAGCAGCCCUUAGCUGAAAUAGUUCUUCUCAAGCGAUUCGUACGCAACAGUACCUCAGCCACGCCACGCAAAAUCCUACCCAAAAUAGUGUCACUGGACGAAUUGUUAGCAAACAAAAGCUCAAAAUACGCUGCCAUAGUCCCGAACCAUGACCAGAUAAUUUGCAGAAACCCUGAAAACCAAGACGCUUAUAUCUUGCAUCCUUUGUCUAUAGAUGACGAAGGAAACACUUCCGUAAGUACACUUUCUGCUUUGCUGGUCAACGGACAGCUGGUCCAUGAUACCAGACCAAAAUAUACUACAGAAAGCUGUGUGAUGCUUGAGAAUAAAACUGUCUUGAGCGAAAAGCGACUUAACACAGCCAAAGACACUGUUAACAGUGUUGAAAACGAUAAAAUUCAAAAUGGCGUUAAGGAGGCGCCGUUAAGAGUCAAUAGGUUAUUGCAAGACCUCCUCGCUUCAAAAAGUAGCGGAGACACGGAGGAUUUCGACAACGUUAUAGACAGAUUAUUACAAGAAAAAUUGGAGUCUUUCACGAGUAAAAACAACAGUAACAAGAGAUCGAAGGAAAUUGUAAUGGAGACAAUGAAAAGACAAAAAACUUCAACGAACAAAAGUAUUUUGAAUGAAGAAUACUAUCAGUUGCCGAAGUUGGCCGCUAAGGCAGUUGUGUUUGACAUGAACGCGGAGAUUAGACCGCCCCCGUUGGCGAGGCUGACAAAAGUGUACGAUCCCCAACUGCCUGUAGGGCCCCUGAUAACUAGCGUAAGGUCUGAAGUGGCCGCGCCGCCGCAGAAGACCGGGAAGGUCGAUUGGGAGGACAAAAUACCUAUGGAUUUAAUAUCUUAUGCGGGUCCUAAAAAAGUGUUCAUAGGCCCUACAAACAAAGACAUUGGAAUACAGACCCAACACAUGGCCGGCCAAGUGGAACAGACAACUAGCAGUCACCAAGCGGACCCCAAUAUAAUAGACCUUUGUUAAUAACAAUUAAGGUCUAUACAAACUGGAGCUGGGUACGUUCAUAACCGGCUGUAUGUAUAGACCUUUAUCAAACCGAAUUUGGUAAAAACCAAACCAAAUUUUGGCCAUGAGGUACAGUCAUGAGCAAUAUGAUAUACCCACUUUAGGACUCUGUCGCACUAACACAUUUGACAUUUAGUGAGACUUACAGUUCAGUUUGUCAAAAAAGUUAAUGUGACGUGGUACCAAAGUGUAUACAUAUUAAUGCUCGUGACCGUACACAGACAAGGGCGUGGUUGGCGCCCUUUUUUAAUUUUAUAUAUUAUUACUCUUAUUUCGCCAUGCAGUCACUAGAUGUCGCUAACCGUAUAAGCUUACAUAUGUAAAUCAGCGCCAUCUAGUGACCAUGUAUCGUAUCAUUAUGAACACGACUGUACAGUCAUGAGCAAUAUAAUGUACCCACUUUAGGACUCUGUCGCACUAAGAUAUUUCACAUUUAGUGAGACUUACAGUUCAAUUUGUCAUAAAGUACAUAUUAAUGCUCGUGACCGUACAUGAUUCCAGCGGACAUCUCCUAAUUUCGUUAUACCUGUCAUUUUCUUAUCCGCCGAAAAGGAAAGGGACAGAUGAUUGACAACUCUUAAUUUUAAAAUGAAUGGAUAAUCCGGGCGAAUUAAAUAGCCAUGUCGCUGGUAUGCAAACCGUUUUACGUGUGUUAUUAACUUAAAUAAAGAUCAUAGAAGGAAAGCUACAAGCAAAGAGAGGAAUUGGAAGACCAAAAAGAGCUUACAUGGAGCAGAUUAAACAGAAGGCGAACGUCGUGUCUUAUAAGGAAGUGAAAGAAUUGGCCUUUGAUAGACAAGAAUGGAGAAUGCUACACCGACAAGAGCGUGGCUCUUUGUGAUUAAAUACCAUACGUCCCUUUCGUAACCAAAGUUUCAUAACUAGUUAUAAAAAAUAAUUUUCUUCGCUGUUUGUUUCUGGAGGUCCGGGUUCGAUUCCCGAUGGGGACAUUGUCGAAAUCACUUUGUGAGACUGUCCUUUGUUUGGUAAGGACUUUUCAGGCUUGAAUCGCCUGAUUGUCCGAAAAAGUAAGAUGAUUCCGUGCUGGAGGGCACGUUA
RNAcentral lists this unclassified non-coding RNA (2816 nucleotides) under Pectinophora gossypiella (pink bollworm). RNAcentral's name for it is "uncharacterized LOC126379472". The record is from RNAcentral. Lineage: Eukaryota; Metazoa; Arthropoda; Insecta; Lepidoptera; Gelechiidae.